GCUCCAAUAGCGUAUAUUAAGUUGUUGCAGUUAAAAAGCUCGUAGUUGGACUUCUGGGCUCGGUCAGCGGUCCGCCGCAAGGUGUGUACUGUGGAUCGUGCCUUUCCUCUCGACGUUCACGGGUGCUCUUAACUGAGUGCUCGUGGGACUCGGGACCUUUACUUUGAAAAAUUAGAGUGUUCAAAGCAGGCUUUCGCUUG
Molecule: ribosomal RNA, 200 nt
Filed under: uncultured eukaryote
Lineage: Eukaryota
Description: partial 18S ribosomal RNA
Rfam family: Eukaryotic small subunit ribosomal RNA
Source: RNAcentral